CCAGGUCCAUCUAAACCGUCCAUUUACUCGCAUCCAACGACUCAGAUUACUUACCCCAAUUACAUAACAAUCUCUGAAACCCUUUUCAUUAACCUAAUACAGAUCUUGUCUCUCAUCUCCCUGAAACGCCAUAUCUCUCAUCAAACCAGCGUCGCCCUCACGUCCUCUCCGCCAUUUCCGCCCGCGUUCCACAUCCAAAUCUUCCCAAAACAUUGCCACACACUCCACAUAACCCCAUAAACAUUAAACCACCACCAAUUUUUCCUAAAUCCUCUCCACUUCUCCUUAAUUCCAAAUCGUAAAACGAAAUCCUAGACUUUUUCCCGCCUUCGAUUCCUCAUUUAAAAGGUCUGGUUUUGUUAUUCUCCAACUUUCGAAGACGAUUUUGGCUAAAAUGAGUGGUAGAGGUUUAUUCUCACAAGAACAAACCGACUAACACUCUUUUUUGCCUCAAAUUGGAAAGCCCAAAAGUCCGUUCAAGCCAUUUUCCCUUUUGACUAUUCUUGGUAUUUCUUUGCUUCUCAUCAUUUUUUGUUUUAUUUUUCUCACGUUCAUCUUCUUCUUUCUUAUUCCCCUUUUAUCUCAUAUCUUUUCUGUCCAUCUUAAUAUGCAUUUCAAGUCGCGUAUUGUCUGAUUCUUCUUAUUUCUUUCUUCUUCUUUUUGUUUAGUUCGAAUCGAUCUCUUUUGCAUGUUUAGAUUUAAGUCAUAUUAGUAAUUAUUAGUGUAAUUAACAUUUUCUUCUUCAGUAUUUUAAUUUCAUUUUUUGCCUGUUGUCUCAUUUCUACUUCUUCUUUUGUUCUUCUCAAUUAGUUUUUCUUUUGAUGCCGGGAUGGCAGAAUGUCGGUACUUACCUAUUUGCGGCCUGUGGUCUUUUGGAUCACAAUUUGGGCUUCAAGGGUUCAGGAUCCCAAAGGCAUAGAACCUGCUAGUGCAGUAGCUCAAGGCCUUUGGGCCAUUUCUCUAAAGUGUUGGUUUACUAAAGUAAAUAGUAGGGGUUCAAAGGGUAUUUUAGGUAAUUUGGCAUAGAGAAUCUUGCAUAACUAACUUAGGAAGCUUAUAGGAAGAUGGGUUUGGGACUUUGUGACUAACUCUGAAAAACUGAUUUUAAAUUAAGGGUACAGUAGCAAAAAUGAAAAUUCCAAAAGGAUAAAGAGCAAAACUGAAUUCAUUUUCUAUUGACCCAAGGCUUGCCUAUAAAGGCAUAGUUUCUUCACUAGCUAGUCAGAUUUUAGAGAUUAAAAGAACACUGAAAAGUUAGUAAACAGCUGAGUCUCUUUCAAGCUCAUAAACACUGAAAUUUUGCUGAAAAACUUGGUUACUAGUUUCUGGUUUUUGCUUCCUUUUGGUUCGUUAGAAUUUUGGAAAGAUCAAAUCAAGUAGCUGGAUUUUGUGGUAUCGCUGGUUAAAAAAUGGUUUGAGUUUGGGGUUUUAAAAGUUUUGGUUUGAGCUGUUGAUUUUGGUACUGUUACAUUGCUGAUUCUGCUACUGAUGUUGUUAACUCUUCAUUCCCUUUGGUUCCCUCUUAUUUUUCAGGUACUUCUCGUUAAACCAUGACUGGAAAUGAAGCUUGAUUAACCUGUUGUGUGAAGACAUGUAACCCAAGUUGAAGAAAUGACAAAUACUAGUCCCAUGUUAUUAUUUAUUGCUCGAGUUUGUCAUACUUUGUUCAUGUUUCUUCUAGUUCUAGCUUAUUCUGUAUAUUUUGUUCCCUAACAAUAUAUUUUGUUCUAAGUGCUGAAUUUGGAUUUUUGCUUGAUUGUUGUUUGGUUUAAAAGUAGUCCCAGGUUCAGGAAUAAUAUGUCUAAAGUGAAGUUUGUGACCUCUUAGUUCAAUUUUGUGAGUCUGGUUGUUUUUUUUUUUUUUGAAGAUUUUUCUCAUAGCUAUAGGUUAAGUAUUCAUCAAAUCAACUCAUUCAUGUUGUUUUGUUUUAUCAAAUUCGAUCUAGGCUUUAAUUUCAUUAGUUGAUUUUUUUUUCGAUUGCUUACUCAUAGCCUGAGAUAUGGCCACCGUUUAGCAUUUAGCUUGCCUUGCUCAUAUAUGAGCACCUUGAAUUCAAAAUGGCCUCUAAAUAAAUUUUGAGCUUAAAAUCAAAC
This 2093-nucleotide long non-coding RNA is filed under the name Nicotiana benthamiana. RNAcentral's name for it is "long non-coding RNA (NBEN_LNC007882)". The record is from RNAcentral. Lineage: Eukaryota; Viridiplantae; Streptophyta; Magnoliopsida; Solanales; Solanaceae.